Etheostoma spectabile (orangethroat darter) is the source of this 449-nucleotide long non-coding RNA. RefSeq lists it as uncharacterized. The transcript is spliced from 4 exons. Lineage: Eukaryota; Metazoa; Chordata; Actinopteri; Perciformes; Percidae. The record is from RefSeq and is a predicted model, not a curated record.
CUUGAGCCUGACGGACAUUCUGCAUCUCAGUAAGCUAGUAAGAGUGCACAACAGACAACUUCCGUGUAUGCUACUUCAAAAUAAAAGCACUUCCUGUGACGUUCGCAGUAAAACUAAAUUACUGUUAAACAAAGUUGUAUACCUUUUCACAAAUCAGUAAAUCAAGUACUGUAAAUAAUGUAGAUAUUGAGUUUUAAUCACAUUAUAAUUGACCAUUUCCUUUAGACAACCUUAGUUUUAAACUAAACAACAUGAAAUUCGUAUUCAAGUGCUUCACAAACAUUUUGCAACUAUGCCGCAUACUUCAAUAACUGUAAGGUCCUUUUAAUUGAGUAUUUUCAUUCUCCUACUUGCCUGUUGUACGUUUUAUUCAUCUAUUUUUAUAGCUGUGGUUACUUUCAUAUUCAUAUUAAUUAUACAAAAUAUUAUGAAUAAUCCAUGAUGUAUUA